UAUUCAAAUAGUUUAAUUUAAAAUUUUAGUUUGUGAUACUAAAGAUAUAAUAAUUUAUUUUGGAUAA
Molecule: transfer RNA, 67 nt
Filed under: Bruchidius uberatus
Lineage: Eukaryota; Metazoa; Arthropoda; Insecta; Coleoptera; Chrysomelidae
Description: tRNA-His
Source: RNAcentral